GACGAACGCUGGCGGCGUGCUUAACACAUGCAAGUCGAACGCUGAAGACCUGGCUUUUGUUGGGUUGGAUGAGUGGCGAACGGGUGAGUAACACGUGAGUAACCUGCCCUCUUCUUUGGGAUAACGCCCGGAAACGGGUGCUAAUACUGGAUAUUCACUGAUCUUCGCAUGGGGGUUGGUGGAAAGGUUUGUUCUGGUGGGGGAUGGGCUCGCGGCCUAUCAGCUUGUUGGUGGGGUGAUGGCCUACCAAGGCUUUGACGGGUAGCCGGCCUGAGAGGGUGACCGGGCACAUUGGGACUGAGAUACGGCCCAGACUCCUACGGGAGGCAGCAGUGGGGAAUAGUGCACAAUGGGCGAAAGCCUGAUGCAGCGACGCCGCGUGAGGGAUGGAGGCCUUCGGGUUGUAAACCUCUUUCGCUCAUGGUCAAGCCGCAACUGUGGGUUGUGGUGAGGGUAGUGGGUAAAGAAGCGCCGGCUAACUACGUG
RNAcentral lists this ribosomal RNA (486 nucleotides) under uncultured bacterium. RNAcentral describes it as "partial 16S ribosomal RNA". It matches the Rfam family "Bacterial small subunit ribosomal RNA", at positions 28 to 507 of the family's 1533-position model. The record is from RNAcentral.